Artibeus jamaicensis (Jamaican fruit-eating bat) is the source of this 1578-nucleotide long non-coding RNA. RefSeq lists it as uncharacterized. The record is from RefSeq and is a predicted model, not a curated record. Lineage: Eukaryota; Metazoa; Chordata; Mammalia; Chiroptera; Phyllostomidae. The transcript has 3 exons.
AUUGGCAAACACUGGUUUCAAUGUGAGUCGAUAUGGAAUAAUGGAAAGAACUCUGGUAUUGGGGGAGUCAGAGAAUCUGAGCUCUGGAGUGGACCUGUGAAUUUGGAUGUAUUGUGAAUCCCAGUGUCUUUCCUCAGACUCAUAGUUUCAACUACUGCUCAACAUGCCUUUGAAUUGAUAUCAAAAUAAUGGAGCUUCUUAUAACUGAUGGACUCAUUCUAUGAAAUGAAAUUAUGACAAUCUAGAACUUACUACUUCUUUCUACAUGUCAGCCAUCUUUCAAGAAUGUCAUGUACAAGCUCUGCCCAGAAAAAGUUCAACCAUUGUUUAUAUAUCAAGAGGAAUGGUUAGUGCAACAUUGAUGUAAACUGUCUGCCAAGAAGAGUGGACUGGAAUGCGCAUAGUUGAACAACGAUGACUUCAAUGUACUAGUCAGUGGGGGUGGUAGAUGCCAUUGAGUGAGUAUGUGUACUGUGUGGUUGUCACAUUCAAAAUGGUUGAGCGAGUAGAGCAAUGAAUCUGCAACCAAUUUUGCAGUAAGCUUGAAUAGUCCUCUGCAGAAACUAUUUGUAUGAUUCAGAAGGCCACAGCUAUAGGCAGCUGGUAAUUGGCAGCUUCAUUAUGACAUUGUACCUGCUCAUGCAUCGCAUUUUGUGCAGAGUUUUUGGCGAAAAAUCAGAUCACCCAGGUGACUCAGCCCUCCUACAGCCCAGAUUUGGUGCUCUGUGACUUCUGGCUUUUUCCAAAACUAGAAUCACCUUUGAAAGGGAAGAGAUUUCAAACCAUUGAUGAGAUUCAGGAAAAUAUGAUGGGGUAGCUAAUAGUGACUGGGAGAGCUAUGUGAGAUUCUAAGGUGCCUACUUUGAAGGGGACUGAGGUGUCAUUGUCCUAUGUACAAUUUUCUUCGAUAGAUGUCUCUAUUUUUCAUAGUACAUGGCUGGAUACUUUAUGGACAUACCUCAUAUAUGAAUUCAUUUAAUUCUGACAAAACCCAAUGAGAUAGUUGCUUUUGCUAUUCUCAUUGUAGAGGAAAGGUGUGAAGUCACAGAUGUGUGACUCUGACUCUUGACUGCUUUCUAGAUUUGUGACCCAGGACACUCUGACACUCAGUUCCUCAUGUGCAAAAUGCACAUCAUAAAGCCCACCUCACAACACUGCUGUAAAAAUUGAAUUAGAUGAUAUUGAACUAGGGCUCUACCAUUAUAGCUCAUUUAACCUAGAUAAUCUAUUUAAAGCCUCUAUCUCCAAAUACAGUCACUUCGGGGCUUAGGACUUUAGUAUGUGAAUUUGGGGGGACACAGUCCAGCCUGUAACAAUGGGGGCGAGUGGGGCCCUGGUGAGCUGGAGAGCAAGGCCCUGUUCUUCAGAAGAAGAGUGGCCACUACUCGGCCUCUAUCAGUCACUACCACAGGGAAGGAAGGCCUGGCACGGUCAGGGUGCAAUUUCCCAUUCACACUUGGAAUGCAAAUUUUUAAGGACAAUCUUCCAGUUUUAAAAACUUUCUGGGUGACAAAGGUGAAAGGAUGAAGAAAAAACAAAAACAAAGAACCCCCAACUCACAGACAACAGCAUGGUGAU